Molecule: non-coding RNA, 93 nt
Organism: Pelobates cultripes (western spadefoot toad)
Lineage: Eukaryota; Metazoa; Chordata; Amphibia; Anura; Pelobatidae
Source: the annotation of a GenBank genome assembly
AGCUUUAUUGGGGCAAAAGCAGCAACAUUUCAACUCUACCGGGACUUUAUCAAGGUAGGGUCAAAAUGUUGCUGCUUUUGCCCCAAUAAAACU